UAGAUGAAAGUUGGUUCCCACGGCGGAAAGGGAGGCUAUCCACGUCGUCCAGAAAUUAGUCGGCCGUUGGAUUUUAAUCGUCCGGCAACAGCAGCCAUCACUGUUUGAUUGUUGAAAUGAGCAUGUCUCAUCCUGUAGCGUCUGCAAAAAUUGACUUUAAGGUUCUCCGUUUACAUCUGCUGUAGCCACGCGUCCGCUGCUGUUGGGUGGAAGCCUCUCGAAUCCCUUCCACCCCUUCCGCCUUCGCUCCCAUCAGCCAAAAAAAAUUCUGCCUCGCUCUAUCUCCUCCGCGUCGCCGGUCGCCACUGCCCCUCUCCCCCUUGUUGCCCCCCCCGGGCCCCCUUCCGCACCGCCGUCGCCGUCCAUGCGGCGAGCCGGAGCUCGGCCGCGUCUCCCGACGGCUCGGCGGGCAGAAGGCGGCGGCCCACUCUCCUCUCUCUCUUUCUCUCUCUCUUAUCUCUCUCGCCGGCGGGACUGAGUGGCGGCAGCGGCAGUGCCUCCACUGCUCCUCCCUCUCCGGCCCUUGCCUCCCCGGAGCUCCCUCCUCCCGGCGCCGCCCCUCCCUUCCUCUCCGCGUCGAGGACCCUGCAUGAGCACGCCGGCCAGAUCCCGCAGCAGGGCAGCUGCGGCGGCUGCGGCGGGGCGGAGCCUCCACCGCGCGGCCUCCGGCAUCCCCUACUCCCUCCGUGCCGGGUCGGCGGGUGAUGAGGAGGUGCGGUGGCCUCCCCUGCGCCCUCCGUGCCACUCUCCCCUGCUCCGAGCGGCACGGGGUCCGCGGAUCGCUGCGCGGCCUCCUCCGACGCGGCUACGGCGUCCGCGAUGGCCUCCUCGACACCGGCGGCAAAAUAUGUGCGCGGCGGCGGCAUCCGGCCAGGCUCGUCUCCAUCUCCUCCUCCUCUCUCUCUCUCUCGUGCGCGGGGCAGCAGCGGCCCUGCUCCCGGCGCUCGCGCCAGCCGUGGCGAGCAGGGCCGGGCACGCGCGGCGGCCGCGGCCCCUGCUCUCUCUCGGCGCGGCUUGGCAGCAGCCUCGCUGGCCCUCCCUCAUCGGCGCCUCCCUCCCAAGAACCGCCCCGCCAGCCAUGCCGCACGCCGGCUCCGGCCCUCCUCCGGCCGCGCCCUCCUCCCCUGCUCUCCUCGGCCUUGCGCCGCCGUGCAGCCUCCGUCCACCCCCUCCCAGGCUCCCUCCGCCGGCGGUGCUGCUCGAGCUCGGGAGCAGCUGCAGCGACGGCCGGCUCCUGGCAGCGGAGGCUUCCGGCUGCCCGCUGCCUGCCUGCGGCUCUCUCUCCUACCACCAAUGCAUUUCUUGGAGACCUGCUACUGACCUUAUUUCUCUCCCCCUCACCCUCACAACCGCACAGGUGAACCGCACAAGGGAUACAUUGCUGUGCCAAUAGUCUGUUCGUCUUCGUCAGUCAUAGUCAGGUUGGCCCUUGCUCUACUUCGUCCUCAUUUUUUUUCCCACAGUGGCUGCUUCUUUUUCUUGAUCUCUAUAUCUACUUUACUUCUUCCCCUGCGCCUCUUUUCAAGCCAGGUUUAGCUUAUCCCUAUGUUGGAUCCGGCUUCUAUCGAUGCUCCUUUUGGUAUGCAGUGUUGGAUCGAUGUGGUGCUGAUCUUGUUCGCCCGUCCCCGGUGUGCAGUUCAUACGGUUUUUCGUCUGUCUGCUGCCAGGUUUGCAGUCCUCGUUCAGAAACUUCAUCAGUUUGCAUCCCGGCCCUAUCCUUCAGCUGAGACAUCUCCUAGGCCUCCAUUCAGUGAAAUUGCUUGGGAAAAAGUUCUUUCACUUUUACUCCUUCAGAUCUUAAAUUCUGAAUACCAAUGUGAUGAAAUGCUGGUUUGAUUUGUAUAUGGACAAAUAGAUUUGUUAAAUUUAGGUUUUAUUGACUAAAUCAAACAAUUGAAUAAUAGGAAGAUGUAGAAACUGAAAGGAUUAGGACACUUUUGCAGGGCCAGAUCACACUUAUACAUCAUUUGGAAAUGACCUUCUUGUUUCCAUAUCUUUCUUGAUCGUGGAUAAGAAAUUUUCGUGACUGUCUACAUUGCUUGGGAACAAGAGGCCAGUCAGAUCUUUCCUUUUUUAUUGUUGCUAUUUUGUAAAUUUUCUCAUGAGAAUAUAUUCCUCUUUUCUAUCUGAAACUGUGUUCCAUAAAAAAAACUGAAACUAGAACACAAAGAGUUGUGAAUUCGAGAUUGCCAAAAGUAACAUAUAAUGCUCCCUUGUGUUUUUUUUUUGAAAAGUCAGGGUUGUUGUUUUCCAUCGCGCAUGACUCUAAAUUUUUGUGCUGGAUACUAUAUUCUAACGUCAGGCAAUGGUAGAGAUCGAUUGUUUGGGCAGGUAUGCCAUUCUGUGAUCGAGUCAGGUGGGUGCUAAAGGUUAUUACAUGGAAAGUAUGUCACACUUUUCUUCUGGCCAUACAUGAAGAACCAAUGUAGAGUUCUCUUAGUGAUGAUUUGAGAAGUCUCUGAGUCACAGGAAAUUAUUAUGUUAUGAUGAAUGUGCCAUGAGGGUCAUUUACCAAGUGUGCAGUUAAAAUUGGGGUUGACUGGUAGACAUCUGGCAUUGCACACAAAUGAAUUCACCUUAAUGAGCUGGUUAUUACCAUUAUUGAUAAAUUUUAAUACCAUCUUUAGUUCCUUCCUCUGCAGGUUGUCACCCAGGGGAACUGCACCUAGCAUUACCUGCCAACAUCCAUCACAUAUACCAUUGUGGAGUUGGUCGAGUCCUCGGCCUGCAAUAAUGAGUUUGCUAUCCCAGCCAUCCUCAUGGUCAUUCAGGCUCAUGGUGGCUCUGCAGCGAGCUAAGAACAGGAGGUCCGAAGAGGAGGUAAUUUUGUAGAUGCAGCUGACUGUCCAUCCUACUAUUCUCCAUCGCGGCGAGCUCUUGCUCUUGUGCUACACGGUCGUUUACAAGGCCGGCAUGGGAAGCAAGGGCACCCGUCAGCAACUCCGUCACCUACGCCAUUAAUUCGGUGAUGCUGGCGAUGUACCCUGUAUGUGAGGCUGUCCAACAUGUGCAAGGAAAUAUGGAAUGGCUUCUCCAAGGAAAUAUGCUGGUUCACUGGAUUGCCUUGCCAUCUCCAAUGAUAAUUUGGUGUGGAUUAUUGGAAUACUUAAAUUUCAACAAUAUCUCCCGUUACGGCACUAUAAUAUAAUAUGAGUAUUUUGCUUUUGGAGGGUU
Long non-coding RNA from Panicum virgatum (switchgrass), 3174 nucleotides. RefSeq lists it as uncharacterized. The record is from RefSeq and is a predicted model, not a curated record. NCBI's taxonomy places the organism in Eukaryota, Viridiplantae, Streptophyta, Magnoliopsida, Poales, Poaceae. The transcript has 3 exons.